Homo sapiens (human) is the source of this 248-nucleotide unclassified non-coding RNA. It matches the Rfam family "Metazoan signal recognition particle RNA". Rfam says of the family: The signal recognition particle (SRP) is a universally conserved ribonucleoprotein. Lineage: Eukaryota; Metazoa; Chordata; Mammalia; Primates; Hominidae. The record is from Ensembl.
GAGGUAUGUGUUUCCUUUCUUCUCACUUAUUUAUCACUUGAGCCCAGGAGUUGUGGGCUGCAAAAUGCCCAUUGGGUACCACACUGAGUUUGGCAUCAAUAUGGUGACCUCCUGGGAGCUGAGGACCACCAGGUUGCAUAAGGUGGGGUGAACCGGGCCAGACUGGAAAGGGGGUCAAUCAGUAGUGGGAUUGUGCCUGGUGAAUAACCAUUGCACUCCAGCCUGGGCAACACAGUGAGACUCCGUCU